Molecule: long non-coding RNA, 712 nt
Filed under: Mytilus galloprovincialis (Mediterranean mussel)
Lineage: Eukaryota; Metazoa; Mollusca; Bivalvia; Mytilida; Mytilidae
Source: RNAcentral
CUAAUAAUAACAAUCAUGACAAUCACAGGUCAAAUACGGCCUUUUACACAGGGCUUUGAUCCAGACCAAACAGCAAGCUUUAAGGGACCCCACACUUAUUGGUGUACACAAUUCGAACAGGAAAACCAACUAUCUAAUGUAUAUAUCCAAACGAGAAAAUACCAAUGAACCACAUCUACAAACGAUAACUGCUGAACGACAGGCCCCUAAAUCAAUCAGGACAGGUACAUAAACAUGCAGCGGCUGUGUAUAGUUUUGUUUCUCCAGCAUACAAUAUAAUCGCAGGUGAAGGCAAAUCCUUCAGAAGUUCUUUUUACUUUAUUUUAACAACGAACAUCUUUUGAUAGGGAAUAUAAGUAAGGGGGAAAGAAACCAAUGUUUUGUUCUGUACAGGUAUUUCCGCUUAUAUAUUUAUAUUGGAGCACUCUCACGUUUCAUGCUGAAACAAAUAUUUUCACAGAUAUUUACACAGUGUUAUGGGGUGCUUAUAGGUUUAAAAUCGUUAUUAACAGGUUUAGAAUGUGAUUUUAAAAAACAAAUGUUGAUUUUAUAAUAUUUACAAAAAAAAAACGGUGCGGGAAAUGGACAAGAUUACAUUUCCGGAUGCGGGAAGCGGGAAUAUAAAAAAAAUAAAAAAAUUCUGUUUUGAAAAAAAUAGGUGCGGGCGGGUCCGUCGAACAAGUAAUCAAAUUGGCGUGGCCUUAACUACAAA